AGCCCUAUAGUCUAGUGGUCAAGGACGUCGGGUUUUGGUCCCGGAAACCGCGGUUCGAAUCCGCGUAGGGCUA
RNAcentral lists this transfer RNA (73 nucleotides) under Candidatus Pacearchaeota archaeon. RNAcentral describes it as "tRNA-Gln". It matches the Rfam family "tRNA". Rfam says of the family: Transfer RNA (tRNA) molecules are approximately 80 nucleotides in length. The record is from RNAcentral. Lineage: Archaea; Nanobdellati.